AGAGGGUGCAAACGUUGUUCGGAAUUACUGGGCGUAAAGCGCGUGUAGGCUGCUUGGCAAGUCGGAUGUGAAAGCCCUGGGCUCAACCCAGGAAGUGCAUUCGAAACUGCCGAGCUGGAGUCCUGGAGAGGAAGGCGGAAUUCUCGGUGUAGAGGUGAAAUUCGUAGAUAUCGAGAGGAACACCGGUGGCGAAGGCGGCCUUCUGGACAGUGACUGACGCUGAGACGCGAAAGCGUGGGGAGCAAACAGGAUUAGAUACCCUGGUAGUCCACGCCGUAAACGAUGGGUGCUAGGUGUUGCGGGCUUUGACCCCUGCAGUGCCGUAGCUAACGCAUUAAGCACCCCGCCUGGGGAGUACGGCCGCAAGGCUA
This 371-nucleotide ribosomal RNA is filed under the name uncultured bacterium. RNAcentral describes it as "bacterial SSU rRNA". It matches the Rfam family "Bacterial small subunit ribosomal RNA", at positions 527 to 896 of the family's 1533-position model. The record is from RNAcentral.